RNA transcript from Pteropus alecto (black flying fox), 8164 nucleotides. It is a transcript of the gene named zinc finger protein 594, with no coding region annotated. NCBI's taxonomy places the organism in Eukaryota, Metazoa, Chordata, Mammalia, Chiroptera, Pteropodidae. The transcript has 5 exons. The record is from RefSeq and is a predicted model, not a curated record.
AGAGGGACCGCCUCCGUGGGGAGCACGCCGGAAGUGGACGCCCGGUCCCGGGUGCUUUGUCCAAAAUAUUGGCUCCGCGCCAGAGUGAGGAGCAGGGGUUGUGCGAUGGCGGCAGUGGAGGGGACCCCAGUCGAACGGGAGGCCGGGGGUGGCCUAGAGGAAUUCAAGAUGCUGCAGGAUGUGGAUGUGAAUGAAUCACAAAAAGAUGCUGAGCACUGGAUCUGCACUCAAUGGAAUCUCUGUAAGGAAGAGAUGCUAGAGGAGAAGACAGAGCUGAUCUCACAGGAUUCUGAGACCAGGAAUAAGAUGAAGUACUGGAAGUCAAAGAUGGAAAUUUCUGGAGAUAAAGAUUCAGCAAGGGCUAUAUCAGGAAGAUGCCAAAGACAGAUCUCCCAGAAAUGUGGGUUAAUUGAAACCAGUGAUCCUGAGGACAGGUUAUUGAGGCAUUGGGUAAGUCCCUUAGAGAAUGCAAUAAGACAACCUUCUUCCCAAGAGAGAGGUAUCAGGGAAUUGAAUCUCAUCCCUAAGAAAACCAUUGCAGGAGAGAGAGACCAUGGAUAUAAUGGUGGAGAAAAAAUACUUUCUGCUGGAAAAAGAUCUCACCAUUAUGAGGUCUGUGGCCAGAACUUCAGACAGAAAUCAGAAAUAACUGAACAUCAGAAAAUUAAUAAUAUCAAGAAAACUUAUGAAUGUAAAGAAUGUGGAAAAAUUUUCAGUCGUAGCUCAAACCUGAUUAUACAUCAAAGACUUCAUACAGGAAAGAAACCAUAUGUAUGUAAUGAAUGUGGGAAAGACUUUAAUCAAAGUUCAAAUCUUAUUACACAUCAGAGAAUUCAUACGGGAAAGAAACCUUAUAUAUGUCAUGAAUGUGGGAAAGACUUCAAUCAGAGCUCUAAUCUGGUUAGACAUAAGAGAAUUCAUAGCAGCGAGAAUCCCUAUGAAUGUAAAGAGUGUGGGAAGACCUUCAAGGGAAGCUCGAACCUUGUCCUACACCAGAGAAUCCAUAGUGGAGGGAAGCCAUAUAUAUGUAAUGAAUGUGGGAAGACCUUCAAUCAAAGUUCAGAUCUUAUAACACAUCACAGAAUUCACACGGGAGAGAAACCCUAUGAAUGUUACGACUGUGGGCAAACCUUCAGUCAAAGUUCACACCUUAUCACACAUCAGCGAAUUCAUACUGGAGAGAAACCCUUCAAGUGUAAUGAAUGUGAAAAAGCCUUUCGGCAGCGUUCAUAUCUUACCAAACACAAGAGACUCCAUGGUGAAUGUGGGAAAUCCUUCAAUGAGCACACAUCUUUUCUUGAACAUCAGAGGCUGCAUACUGAAAAGAAACUUGAAUGUGAAAAAGCCUGCACUUCUGACUUGGACUUUAUUAAACAACAGAGAAUUCAUAGAGAAGAAAAACCUUAUGAAUGUACUGAAUGUGGAAAAACUUUCCGGAGAAGUUCAGAUCUAAUUCGGCAUUGGAUAAUUCAUACUGGAGAGAAACCUUAUGAAUGUAGUCAAUGUGGGAAAGCCUUUAGCCAGAAGUCACACCUUGUUACACAUCAGAAAAUUCAUACUGGAGAGAAACCCUAUCAGUGCAAUGAAUGUGGGAAAGCCUUCCGGCAGCGUUCACUUCUCACUCAACAUCAGAGAAUCCAUAGUGGUGAGAAACCCUAUGAAUGUAAAGAAUGUGGAAAAUCCUUCAUCUGGCGCACAACUUUUCUCAAACAUCAGAGACUUCAUGCUGGAGAGAAACUUGAAGAAUGUGAGAAAACAUUCAGCAAGAAUGAGUUGUUUAGAAAAGAGCAGAGAAUUCAUCAAGAAGAGAAAACUUAUCAGUGUGGUAGAACAUUCCGAGGCAUCUCAGACCUCAUCAGACAUCAGGUAACUCAUAUGGGAGAGAAACCGUAUGAAUGUAAAGAAUGUGGGAAAACUUUCAAUCAGAGCUCAGACCUUAUGAAACAUCAUAGAAUUCAUAGUGGAGAAAAACCUUAUGUGUGCAAUAAAUGUGAGAAAUCUUUUAGGGGCAGCUCAGAUCUUAUUAAACACCGUCGUGUUCAUACUGGAGAGAAACCUUAUGAAUGUCUUGAAUGUGCAAAGGCCUUCAGUCAGAACUCACACCUUAUUAGUCACCAGAGAAUUCACACUGGAGAGAAACCCUUUGUAUGUAGCGACUGUGGGAAGGCCUUCCGUGGGCGCACAGCUUUUCUUAAACAUCAGAAACUUCAUACUGGAAAGGAACUUGGGGAAUGUGAGAGAGUCUUCAAACAGGACUUAUUCUAAUAGAUAAUGAAAAGAAAACUGAGAAGAAAGAAUGGAAGCUAAAUCAGGAAAUUUCUGAAGAAAUAGAAUCAGAACACUCAAUACAAAUACCUAAUGGAUUUAAACUCUUAGGACCCAGUGAAUGUGAGAACAGCUUGGAGAGGCAACGGGUAAAUUCAUCAGAGGCUGGACUGCUACAAUCCCCUUUUGAGGAUAGGGAGUUCAGCCAAGUGAGCCUUUCCCUUAAGAAAACCCUUAUAGUCUACAGCCAUGCCACCCUGAAUGUGCCCAAUCUCGUCUAAUCUCAGAAGCUAAGCAGAGUCGGGCCUGGUUAGUACUUGGAUGGGAAUAGCAGGUGCUGUAAGCAUAAAAAAAAAAAGAAAAAGAAAAAAAGAAAACCCUUAUAGGUGAAGGAAAACUCGAAUGUAAUAAGAAAGUGAGAAUUUGUAAUCUGAGCCCACUUGUUAUACAUCAGAGAGUUCCUGCAGAGGAAAGAACCGAUAGGUACAAGGCAUGUGGCCAGAGCUUCAGACAGAAGUCAGGACUACUCAGCAUGAGAAAACCUAUAUCAUAAAAAGAACCGAUAAGUGUAACGAAUGUGGAAAUAUUUUCAGUAGGAGUUCAUACCUAGAUAUACAUAAAAAAUUCACACAGGAAGGAAACCUUAUAUUUGUGGUGACUAUGGGAAAGAUUUCAGUCAGAGCUCCAGUCUCAUUCAACAUCGGUGAAUUUAUACAGCAGAAACUUCCUAUGAAUGUAAUAAGUGUGGAAAGAUUUUCAAGGGGAACUCAAACCUUAUCUUGCACCAGAGAAUCCAUAGUGGAGGGAAUCCAUAUAUAUGUAAUAAAUAUGAGAAGGCCUUCAAUCUAAGCUCAGAUCUUAUACAUCACAGAAUUCACAGUGGAGAGAAACCUUAUGAAUGUAAUGACUAUGGGAAAGCAUUUAGUCAGAACUCACAUUUUGUUACCCACCAGAGAAUUCAUACUGGGGAGAAACCCUAGGAAUGCAGUGACUGUGGGAAAGCCUUCAGGCAGAGUUCCUUAUUCAGCACUGAAGAAUCCAUAGUGGGGGAAAACUAUGAAUGCCCCAAAUGUGGGAAAACCUUCAGUGGGUACUCAGUUUUUCUUAAACAUAAAAGACUUCAUAUUGGAGAGAAACUUGAAUAUGAGAAAGCCUUCGGUUUAGAUACAAAACUUAAUGGACAGCAGAGAAUUCAUAAGGAAAAGAAACUUUAUGAAUGUAAUGAAUGCAGACAAAUCUUCCGAGGUAGCUCAGAUCUUAUGAGACAUCAAAUAAUUCGAACUAGAGAAAAACCUUAUGAAUGCAGUGAAUGUAGAAAGGCCUUCAGUAGGAACUCAGUCCUUAUAGAACAUCGAAGAAUCCAUACAGGGGAAAGGUUUUAUAAAUGCAGUGACUGUGGGAAAGCCUUUAGGGGGAGCUCACAACUCAUUCAGCAUCAAAGAAUUCACAGUGGAAAGAAACCUUAUGAAUGCAAUGAAAGUUGCAAGACUUUUAAUCAGAGCUCAGACCUUAGUCGGCAUCAUAGAAUUUAUAGUGGAGGAAAGCCCUAUGAAUGUAAUGAAUGCGGGAAAGCCUUCAAAUAGAGCUCAGACCUUGUUAGGCAUCAGAAAAUUCAUACUAGUGAGAAAAUUUAUGAAUGAGUGUGGAAAAGCUUUCAGUCAGAGCUCAGAUCUUACACAGUAUCAGAGAAACCACAGGAUCAUAACCCUAGGAACACAGCAAUGAUAAAUAUAUCCAUUUAUUUAUAUGUAUGUUUGUUUUUUAAAUACUGUUAUGUCUACCUUUAGCCAUUAUAACUAUUUGGAAAAUUCUAAGUUUCCAAAGAGCAAUUUUCAUUUGAUUCAGUUUAGAGUACUUAACCUCAGGUCAUGUAUAGAUAUGUCCUUCCUAAAUGUUUCCCAUGUGGUAAAUCAGAAAACUUGACAAGAUAAGCCUUUAAUUACACUUUCACUCCUUCCUUUAUCAUCAGAGAUUCCACGCCACAGGAAAAUCUCGCCAAUGGAGAAACUUGAAUAUAGAGCAUAUACAUCAUCACAAAAUGGUGCCUUUGCAUGUGCUAUUCAGCAGCACUACAAAUCUAAUUGCUUUUCCUUGUCUUUUUCUCUAUAAUAUAAACUGUACCAGGGGAAUGUAAGAUGAGUAUGAUAUCCUGAACUCUAGGGUAGAUGGUCCUUCCCGGGACAGAGUCUAAUCCAAACAUCUGCAAAUGAUCCUGAAGUUUUAAAUGAGAAUAAAUGUCACUGUAUAGAUUAGGGAGUUUGAGCUUGUUCCUUCAUUCCUAGCAAAAUUAAAUACAGAAGCAACUGAUUUAAUUAAGAAAAAUACAGAAGCAACUGAUUUAAUUAAGAAAAAGAAGUGGAUGGUGAAUCUUUAAAUACAGAAGCAGCUGAUUUGAUUAAGAAAAGGAAGUGGAUGGUGAGUCUUCUUUCAUGUAAAGGGAGAAGUUGUGACUCAUAGGAUUUGAAAGUAUAAUGGCACUUUGGAGUCUGACAUACUGAAAUCCUGGUUCUGUCUCUUUUAAUCUCUGUGAUCUUAGGCAAAAAUUUUUGUGUUUCUGAUUCUUGGUUUUCUCAUUUGCAAAUUCAACAUAAUGAUACCUCCCCUGUGGGGCUAUUGUGAAGAUUAAAGGAGACAAUUUUGUUAAGCACCUAGCAUAACUCUAGAUAUACAAAUGAUAGCUAUUUUUAGCAGUAGUUCCUGUGGGCAGUAAUUGUCUAAGGCAUUUUGAAGGAAAGGGGAAAACAUGUUCCACCUGCUAAAGCCUUCUGGAAGAUGUUAUGAGUCUACAUUUCUGAUCCUACUUGAAGUCAGAAGGGUCUUGGCCUAGUGUAAGUAAAUGCAGAGAUUGGGGAGACUGGGGAGGAAUUUGUACAAAUUUUCAAUGAUAUGUCUUUGUGUGUGUGUGUGUGUGGUAAGAACACUUAACAUAAGAUUUACCCCUCAACAAAAAUUUUAAGUGUAAUACAGUAUUCUUAACUAUGGGCACGAUGUCAUACAGCAGAUCUCUAGAAUUUAUUCAUUUUCCAUAACAAACUAUACCCAUCUAACAACUCCCUAUUUCACCCCACAGCCCUUGACAACACCAUUCUACUCUCUGCUUCUGCAAGUUUGACUAUUUAGAUACCAUAUAUAAAUGGAAGCAUGCAGUAUUUGUCUUUCUGUAGGAUGAUAUAUCUUAGAGAAACAAAUUUAGUAGUUAGUGGAAAAUGUUACUAUAGUACUACAGAGUUGAAUUAAGAUUUUUCUUGGAGAGGCUAGGAGUAAGCUGUUUUAUGAAAGUAUUCAGAGAUCAGAUCAAUAAAUACCCUGCAAAUAUGAUAAUGAGAGAACUUUAAUUCUUGCAGGUUGCUUAACUGGUUUUCAGAAAGUAAUAAUCAGAGAAUGAGGAAGUCUUAACUUUUUCAUAUCAGAAGGCAAAUUUUGGUGUGUUGGGAAAGGUUCUUUGGACCAUCUGAAUUAUUUCAAAGGAGCCAAGGUACACAAGAUCAAGGGAUUAUGAAGAUGGAGCCAAAAGAACAGUCCUAGGAAUAUAAGACCAAGCUACAUGGGAACUACUCUUUCAGUCGAGAGAUCUUCCACCAACACUUCAGGCAUCUCUGCUACCAGGAGGCCCCAGGAGGCCCUGAGCUGACUUCUGGUCCCCAGGAGGCUCUGAGCUGACUACAGGUACUCUACUGUGAGUGGCUGAGGCCUGAGAGGAACACCAAGGAACAGGUCCUGGAAUUACUGGUGCUGGAACAAUUCCUGAUCAUCCUGCCUAAGGAGCUCCAAUGCCGGAUGUGGGGACAUCGCCCUAAGAAUGGAGAAGAAGCUGUAGGACUAUGCUGGAGGAUUUAGAGAAAGGACUUGAUGAACCAAGACCACAGGUGGGAAGGGGAACAUGUGAUCUGUUGUGGGAGCCAGAUCAGUGACCUCCAGGCUGGACAGAGGGGCAGCAGUAAGGGGAGUUGCCAAGUUCAAACCUCUCUCUGGCCAGGUAGAGCAGUUUCUAUCUUUGUCUUUUCUGCCCUUAAACCCUGAAUGAGACUCUAGCUCUUCUUCUUUCCCCUGUUCUGACUCUGAGAAGGAUCUCUGAAGUCUCCUUGGAAGCUUUGGUCCCACAUAAACCAAACGGUGCCUAUCACCUUCAGGUCCCAGGUACUGCACAUGGACCUGCAUAAGAAGAGCCAUGGGAGGAGAAGGCAUCUCUGGGAGCAGCCCCAGGAGGCUCUGAGCAUCCAGUUCCAGCCUAAAGAGACUCAGCUCAAGUGUGAAUCUCAGGAGACCCAGCCUUGCCUAGAGAAUGAUGAUGAGCAGGAUUCCGUGGGGAAGGAGAGGAGGAGGAGGGAGUAUAAAGGACAUAUAGUAGGUACUCAAAAGUUGGCUAUUCUUACCUCUCAAGUAAAAGACUUAGCCUGUUUUAUCACCUGUAGAAUUAGGAAUAAUAAUAACCUACCUCAUAAGGUAGCUCUGAAGGUUAAAUAAAACGGAUAUAUCUGACUAUAAAAUUUCACCAGCAUCUCUUAGCUUUAGAAAACCCUAAAACAGGGCCAGAAAAUAUUUCAUUCACUUCCUGCCUCAUCUCCUCUGUUCUUGAUGCCUAACUCAAAAUACUUCUGCCCUACGCUAGAGGCUAGCCUUGAGAUUAUUUUUCUUUUAACUUUCUCAUGCCUCCCAAAACACUUUUUAAGCUAUAAAGCAACUCUCAUGUGAGAUACAUCUUUAUCUACCACUUAACCCCAUCUAAUGUCAGUAUUUACCUUCUAGCCUUCAAAUUUACAGCAAAAACUUCCUUCCCAGCCUGCAUACACUCUCAUGAGCAUCCUUUCCUCUCCCUGUAGCAAACUCUAGAUUUAGAGCCUCUGGACUGUAAACUGUUCUUGCUGACCCCUAACAUUGUGAACCAUAGGAAACAUAGCAUGAAUAUGUUGCUAAUCAAGAAGAUUCUAUUUAAUAUUUGGUAUUAUACCACAACCCACCACCAAACAAAAGCAUCUGAAAAAUCAAAUUCUUGUUAGCAACAAAAUGGGAAAAACUAGAAAUGGAGAUUGAUCUUAGAAUUUAUUUCAAAAGUAUGAUUUUACCUCCCAGCACAUCCUUGCUUUUCUUCUAGACUUUGUCUUGACACCUAUAUUCUGUUUAGUAAGUCUCUAUUAAUCAACUUAGUACUUUACUAUUAAAAAGCUAACUAAUUAUUGUUAGAUUUUUUUUUCAGCAAGCAUAUUGCACAUUUUUUUUAACCAGAAGCUUUUAACGUGGAAAAACUGUAUUUUUUUUAAUCAAGUGGUCUUGAGUUAUCAAAGCAUUGCUUUGAUCUCCUUUAAACUAUAGAGAGCUUUAUAGAUAAAACACAAAAAGUGUUACAGACAUUUAAAAACAAAGGGCGAUGCAUUCUUUUCUUCCUUUUUUUCCUUUCUCUUCAUUUUUUAAGGAACAAGUCAAAGGGAAAGGCAGAGAGUACCAGGGAGGUAGACACAGAACUGGCAGUUGUCCCUUCAAUAAAGGAGAGAGCUGACUGGGGAUCCUUUUCGGUGGCUGCAGAUUUAUGGAGCAGGAAGUCGGUGGGAAGAAGUAAAGGUUGCAGAAUUAGGAGAGUAGAGUCCACCUUUACGAACAUCCCUUUUCCCUAACCCUAUGAUUCUUUCUUACUUUUCCCUUUCCUCACAUCGGGUGAUCACUCCCCAAUUUCUUGAAAAUAUUACUUUCGCUCAUAUUUUUAAAGAGUAAGUCUUGAAAAGAAGAUCCUCCCCUGAAACUUAUUUUAUUUUUUAAAAACAUUUUGCAGUGUUCUGUUAAGGAAAAAUUAGAGAAAACAGACAAGCAGGGGGGAAAGGGAAAAGAAGAAAGCCUCUCCCCUGCUUACUCUCAUCACCAUGAGAUAACUAUUGUUCAUAUUUUAAGUAAAUAUCCUUUCAGACUU